GGUGAGAGAAGCAGAGGCCCAAAGGAAUAUUGCAAAUACCCAAGGUCACCCUGUCAGGAGUGGCAGAAUAGGGCUGGAACAAGGACUCUUUUCUCUGGACAGCUUGCACCUACAAUCCUUUCCAUCUUGCACCUACAAUCCACUCGAACACUGCAGCAUGGAGGCAGACUCCUUGCCAACGGGUAUUGUCGAGAGCUUCUUCCUACCAUCAUUUGAAGAAAAAAAGCUUGGAGAUGGGGAAGAAUGAUUGAUCAACAUGUUUCUUCCUUAGUUUGUUACUGCUGUUGUUUUAAAUCGAGAAAGCAUUUUUAAACAGGAUGGGGGGGGACUGAUAAUAUCAGUCCUCCUUAAUUUCAUUACAGCCGAGUCAUCAGUAUUUUAGUAUUUCUUGCAGGUUGAUGAUUACAACAAUAUAAUUUUAUUUAUUUUAAUUAAACUCUAUUUGCUUCCCACAUAA
RNAcentral lists this long non-coding RNA (457 nucleotides) under Homo sapiens (human). RNAcentral's name for it is "non-protein coding MME-AS1:1". The record is from RNAcentral. Lineage: Eukaryota; Metazoa; Chordata; Mammalia; Primates; Hominidae.